GCCGUGAUAGCUCAGCUGGUAGAGCACCUGCCCGGUAUGCGGAGGGUCGCCAGGUUCGAUUCCGGCUCGCGGCU
RNAcentral lists this transfer RNA (74 nucleotides) under Fasciola hepatica (liver fluke). It matches the Rfam family "tRNA". From Rfam's summary of the family: Transfer RNA (tRNA) molecules are approximately 80 nucleotides in length. Their secondary structure includes four short double-helical elements and three loops (D, anti-codon, and T loops). Lineage: Eukaryota; Metazoa; Platyhelminthes; Trematoda; Plagiorchiida; Fasciolidae. The record is from Rfam by way of RNAcentral.